UGUGACUUCCUGUUGCUGUGUGAUUGGUGGAGGCUUCUUUCGGAGAGAGCUCCACCCAUCUGUACUUCGCUGCAAUUCAGCCAGUCGCUUCACAGCUAGCAUCAACUUCUUCUGGUGGCCUUCACACAUCGAAAUAAAACAGGUCCUCCCAGGUGAUGUCGGUGAUGAAGUCGAUGUUCUCAUAACCGUUCUGCACCAACACCUGAUGGUACUGACUCAGACCAAUAGCAGAAAGCCACUCACCCAGACUGGCCUGUAGGACCAAUCAGAAACAUGAACAACAAGGCUGGUUGCUCCACAGACUUUGACUGUUCCAGCAGAUGCUCCUUAGCUUUGGCAGAUUGAGACAACACUGUGGCCAAAAGCUCUUGUGCAUGGAGGAUGUGUGCACUGCCUGCGCUCUGACCGCUGCCUGAUGACCUCACACUGGUGACGCUGCCAGAACUGCCGACGCUGCUACGGUCUCCACCUAGCCUGCAGGAAGUUGGAGCCCAGUCCUGCAGUGAUCGGGCAGGGGGCUGGGUCAGACCCUGGGCAGUUCUCCAGUCCAUCACAGGGUCAAAUAUAAAGACAAAUCACUAUUCACAUCCUGCAUGUCUUUGUACAAAACUGUAAAAACCUUUCUGGAUGAAUUCAUCCAUCCAUCCAACCAUCUUCAGGGGGGACUGAAGAAUUGCCCGCCUGUCAUCAGGUAAAGUGAAGUAGAAAUUAACACCCGGACGACGGUGACGUCACUGGACUGAUGUGUUUGUUGAUCAGCCUGAACCUUCGACAUCUUUGUUUCACACACGUACACAGCCAGGUGAAGAGGAGACGUGCCGUUGGGGUCGCUGGUGUCUCCUUUUUUGGGCUCCAGCAGAGCAGCACACAUGUUACUGGAGAGUAACAGCUGGACCACCUACACACACACACACACACACACACACACACACACACACAAAUACACAAACAUAUAUGUAAUAUUUCUCUUGAUUAUAUUUGGCUCCAUCUUCAUCAGAACGACGGAAACUCUUACCCCGACUCUUCCGAACUCACAGGCCAGGUCCAGGGGGGUUUUCCCAGCGUUGUCCACGAUGCAGGGGUUGGACUGAUGCUGCAGCAACAUUUCAGACUGAAACGUAGAAACACACAGACACACAUCAGACGAUUCCACCGACUGCAGCUCUGAGCUGCGUGUCUUUGGCCUCUGAGAUGGAAAACAUCAGGUGGUAACUGACACACAGACCGACUGCUGCCAGCUGGCACCAUCCAACCUCCCACCGCCACACUGUCAGGCAACAGCGAAAACCACUGAACCAUGUUUUGACUUGGUCUUCAGACGCCUGGUCACUUUACACUGGUAACACUGGUAACACUGGUAACACUGGUAACACUGGUAACACUGUUCUUUUUCUCACAGAUUAUGGUCUGGAGCAGAAUUCUAAUCAUUUAUUCUGUUGUUUCCUCAGUUUUUAACUCUUCACCACAGCUAAAUCAGUAACAUAGGACUUGACUGUAGUGCAGGCGUUUCAACACUAGUGGUGCUGUUGGUCCACGAGGAGCCAGUAAGUGGUGACGGUGACACGGGUUAUAAAUGGCUGUGCGUCUGCCGCUCUGUUGUCCGCUGUCACUCACCACGUCGUAGUGGCCAUGCUGUGCUGACAGGUGGAGAGGAAUCUGUCCUUCAUCUGAUUGGCCGUUGACAGACGAACCUGAUUUCAGCAACAUCUUCAUAGGCUCCGCCCUCCCCUGCCAGGCUGCGUAAUGCAGAGGCCGCAUACCUGCACAAAGGAAAACAGCAAAGGAUCUUCGCAUAUAAAACAUUAGACGACUUGUUGCCACACCUAAGGUGCAGCCAUCCAAGAUCUUCCAAGGACAUCAAAGGAUGUGAACCAGUGAAGAUCUCACGAGGAUUGUCCUUCUCACCUUUCUGGUC
Molecule: long non-coding RNA, 1915 nt
Organism: Cynoglossus semilaevis (tongue sole)
Lineage: Eukaryota; Metazoa; Chordata; Actinopteri; Pleuronectiformes; Cynoglossidae
Exons: 11
Source: RefSeq, a predicted model, not a curated record